Molecule: ribosomal RNA, 253 nt
Filed under: uncultured bacterium
Lineage: Bacteria
Description: partial 16S ribosomal RNA
Rfam family: Bacterial small subunit ribosomal RNA
Source: RNAcentral
UACGUAGGGUGCGAGCGUUAAUCGGAAUUACUGGGCGCAAAGCGUGCGUAGACGGUUAGAUAAGUCGGAUGUGAAAGCCCCGGGCUCAACCUGGGAAUUGCAUUCGAGACUGCCUAGCUAGGAUGCGGAAGAGGGAAGCGGAAUUUCCGGUGUAGCGGUGAAAUGCGUAGAUAUCGGAAGGAACACCAGUGGCGAAAGCGGCUUCCUGGUCCAGCAUCGACGUUCAGGCACGAAAGCGUGGGGAGCAAACAGG